CAGGAUGAACGCUGGCGGCGUGCCUAACACAUGCAAGUCGAACGAGAAGCUAAUCUCUGAUUCCUUCGGGAUGAUGAGGUUAGCAGAAAGUGGCGAACGGGUGAGUAACGCGUGGGUAAUCUACCCUGUAAGUGGGGGAUAACCCUCCGAAAGGAGGGCUAAUACCGCAUAAUAUCUUCACUUCUUAAGAAGAGAAGAUUAAAGAUGGCCUCUAUACUAUGCUAUCGCUUCAGGAUGAGCCUGCGUCCUAUUAGUUAGUUGGUGGGGUAAUGGCCUACCAAGACCACAAUGGGUAGCCGGUCUGAGAGGAUGUACGGCCACACUGGGACUGAGAUACGGCCCAGACUCCUACGGGAGGCAGCAGUGGGGAAUAUUGCGCAAUGGGGGAAACCCUGACGCAGCGACGCCGCGUGGAUGAUGAAGGCCUUUGGGUUGUAAAAUCCUGUUCUGGGGGAAGAAACCUUAAGGGUCCAAUAAGCCCUUAAGCUGACGGUACCCCAAGAGAAAGCUCCGGCUAAUUAUGUGCCAGCAGCCGCGGUAAUACAUAAGGAGCAAGCGUUAUCCGGAAUUAUUGGGCGUAAAGAGCUCGUAGGCGGUCUUAAAAGUCAGGUGUGAAAUUAUCAGGCUCAACCUGAUAAGGUCAUCUGAAACUUUAAGACUUGAGGAUAGAAGAGGAAAGUGGAAUUCCCGGUGUAACGGUGAAAUGCGUAGAUAUCGGGAGGAACACCAGUGGCGAAGGCGGCUUUCUGGUCUAUCUCUGACGCUGAGGAGCGAAAGCUAUGGGAGCAAACGGGAUUAGAUACCCCGGUAGUCCUAGCUGUAAACGAUGGAUACUAGGUGUGGGAGGUAUCGACCCCUUCUGUGCCGCAGCUAACGCAUUAAGUAUCCCGCCUGGGGAGUACGGUCGCNAGGCUGAANCUCAAAGGAAUUGACGGGGGCCCGCACAAGCGGUGGAGCAUGUGGUUUAAUUCGACGCAACGCGAAGAACCUUACCGGGACUUGACAUUAUCUUGCCCGUCUAAGAAAUUAGAUCUUCUUCCUUUCGGGGAAGACGAGAUAACANGUGGUGCAUGGUUGUCGUCAGCUCGUGUCGUGAGAUGUUGGGUUAAGUCCCACAACGAGCGCAACCCUUAUGCCUANNUUGCUUAACUUGUUUUACAAGUGCACUCUAGGCAGACUGCCGCGAUAAUGCGGAGGAAGGUGGGGAUGACGUCAAAUCAUCAUGCCCCUUACGUCCCGGGCUACACACGUGCUACAAUGGUCUGUACAAAGGGUAGCGAAGAGCGAUCUUAAGCCAAUCCCAAAAGCAGGCCUCAGUUCGGAUAGGAGGCUGUACUCGCCUCCAUGAGUAGGAUCGCUAGUAUCGCGAUCA
This 1372-nucleotide ribosomal RNA is filed under the name uncultured bacterium. RNAcentral's name for it is "bacterial SSU rRNA". It matches the Rfam family "Bacterial small subunit ribosomal RNA", at positions 25 to 1351 of the family's 1533-position model. The record is from RNAcentral.